UAGGGAAUCUUCGGCAAUGGGGGCAACCCUGACCGAGCAACGCCGCGUGAGUGAAGAAGGUUUUCGGAUCGUAAAGCUCUGUUGUAAGAGAAGAACGUGUGUGAGAGUGGAAAGUUCACACAGUGACGGUAACUUACCAGAAAGGGACGGCUAACUACGUGCCAGCAGCCGCGGUAAUACGUAGGUCCCGAGCGUUGUCCGGGUUUAUUGGGCGUAAAGCGAGCGCAGGCGGUUUAAUAAGUCUGAAGUUAAAGGCAGUGGCUUAACCAUUGUUCGCUUUGGAAACUGUUGAACUUGAGUGCAGAAGGGGAGAGUGGAAUUCCAUGUGUAGCGGUGAAAUGCGUAGAUAUAUGGAGGAGCACCGGUGGCGAAAGCGGCUCUCUGGUCUGUAACUGACGCUGAGGCUCGAAAGCGUGGGGAGCAAACAGG
This 429-nucleotide ribosomal RNA is filed under the name bacterium. Its description in RNAcentral is "partial 16S ribosomal RNA". It matches the Rfam family "Bacterial small subunit ribosomal RNA", at positions 355 to 776 of the family's 1533-position model. The record is from RNAcentral.